GGCCCAGUGGUGUACCGCCAACAUAUCCUCUUUCAAUUUAGGGCACCUAAUUGAAACUGAAUAUAUGAGGAAGCACCCCGUUCGACUCGGGGCUGGGCCC
Molecule: non-coding RNA, 100 nt
Organism: Mycena galericulata
Lineage: Eukaryota; Fungi; Basidiomycota; Agaricomycetes; Agaricales; Mycenaceae
Source: the annotation of a GenBank genome assembly